RNAcentral lists this ribosomal RNA (392 nucleotides) under Clostridioides difficile. RNAcentral's name for it is "partial 23S ribosomal RNA". It matches the Rfam family "Bacterial large subunit ribosomal RNA", at positions 1 to 394 of the family's 2925-position model. The record is from RNAcentral. Lineage: Bacteria; Bacillati; Bacillota; Clostridia; Peptostreptococcales; Peptostreptococcaceae.
GGUCAAGUUAUUAAGGGUGCAGGGCGGAUGCCUUGGCACUAGGAGCCGAUGAAGGACGUGAUAAGCUGCGAUAAGCUUCGGGGAGUUGCACGUAAACUUUGAUCCGAAGAUUUCCGAAUGAGGAAACUCACUUAGAGUAAUGUCUAAGUAUCAUUAAGUGAAUACAUAGCUUAAUGAGGGGAACUCAGGGAACUGAAACAUCUAAGUACCUGAAGGAAGAGAAAGAAAUUCGAUUCCGUAAGUAGCGGCGAGCGAACGCGGAUUAGCCCAAACCAAUAAAGUUUUCUUUAUUGGGGUUGCGGACAUAUCAUAACGAAGAGGUAUCGUAAUUGAAGAGGUUUGGAAAGACCCACCACAGAAGGUAAUAGUCCUGUAUGUUAAACGAGAAGACU